Long non-coding RNA from Homo sapiens (human), 424 nucleotides. Lineage: Eukaryota; Metazoa; Chordata; Mammalia; Primates; Hominidae. The record is from Ensembl.
AUAUAUUUUUAGUUGAAAUAUGGAGCCACAGCAACACUUUGACUUUUCCUCUUCAGAAGAUGAGACAGGCCGGGGUCAUCAUUGUUACAAAAGCAAGGCCUGUGAUCGUGACAAGGACAGGCUGGGGCAGAGACCACACACUCAACCAGGCUGACCUGGAGAGAGACCCUUCCAAAGGCAGUGGAGUGGAGGGCAUGGGCCUCCGAUGAGAGAACUCCAGAGCUGGCCGGGACCUACUGUGCUGGCAGCAGACAGGUGGACCCUCAGGCCCAGAGCCGGCAGCAGAGGGGGGUGAAUCCAUGGCAACAGGAGUCACAGGUGAACCAAUGGGAAACCAAACACACGCAUCGAAAGCCAAUCAAACACAAACCCCAAAUGUGAAGGCAGCAGCAAGUUCUUUGUGUAAUAAAUAUUGCAAAGCGCA